This 253-nucleotide ribosomal RNA is filed under the name uncultured bacterium. RNAcentral describes it as "partial 16S ribosomal RNA". It matches the Rfam family "Bacterial small subunit ribosomal RNA", at positions 524 to 776 of the family's 1533-position model. The record is from RNAcentral.
UACGGGGGGGGCAAGCGUUGUUCGGAAUUACUGGGCGUAAAGGGCUCGUAGGCGGCCAACUAAGUCGGCCGUGAAAUCCCUCGGCUUAACCGGGGAACUGCGUCCGAUACUGGAUGGCUGGAGGUUGGGAGAGGGAUGCGGAAUUCCAGGUGUAGCGGUGAAAUGCGUAGAUAUCAGGAGGAACACCGAUGGCGAAGGCAGGUCUCUGGGCUGACACUGACGCUCAUGCACGAAAGCGUGGGGAGCAAACAGG